CGGGGUGUAGGGCAGAUGGUCAGCCCGCCUGAUUUGGGUUCAGGAAGCCGCAGGUUCGAAUCCUGCCACCCCGACCG
This 77-nucleotide transfer RNA is filed under the name Mycobacterium eburneum. RNAcentral's name for it is "tRNA-Pro". It matches the Rfam family "tRNA". Rfam says of the family: Transfer RNA (tRNA) molecules are approximately 80 nucleotides in length. Their secondary structure includes four short double-helical elements and three loops (D, anti-codon, and T loops). Further hydrogen bonds mediate the characteristic L-shaped molecular structure. tRNAs have two regions of fundamental functional importance: the anti-codon, which is responsible for specific mRNA codon recognition, and the 3' end, to which the tRNAs corresponding amino acid is attached (by aminoacyl-tRNA synthetases). tRNAs cope with the degeneracy of the genetic code in two manners: having more than one tRNA (with a specific anti-codon) for a particular amino acid; and 'wobble' base-pairing, i.e. permitting non-standard base-pairing at the 3rd anti-codon position. The record is from RNAcentral. Lineage: Bacteria; Bacillati; Actinomycetota; Actinomycetes; Mycobacteriales; Mycobacteriaceae.